AGGGUUCGAUCAUGGCUCAGAUUGAACGCUGGCGGUAGGUUUUAUACAUGCAAGUCGAGCGGUAACAGACAUUUUGAUUCAGCUUGCUGAAUCUCGUGCUGACGAGCGGCGAACGGGUGAGUAACACGUAGGAAUCUACCCAGUAGCGGGGGAUAGCCCGAGGAAACUCGGAUUAAUACCGCAUACGCCCUGAGGGGGAAAGGGGGCAUCUUUGAUGCUCUUACUAUUGGAGGAGCCUGCGUAAGAUUAGCUUGUUGGUAGGGUAAUGGCCUACCAAGGCAACGAUCUUUAGCUGGUCUGAGAGGACGAUCAGCCACAUUGGGACUGAGACACGGCCCAGACGUCUACGGACGGCAGCAGUAGAGAAUAUUGGACAAUGAGGGAAACCUUGAUCCAGCCAUACCGCGUGUGUGAAGAAGGCCUUAGGGUUGUAAAGCACUUUAAGCGAUGAAGAAGGAAAGUAAGUUAAUACCUUACUUUUUUGACAUUACUCGCAGAAUAAGUACCGGCUAACUCCGUGCCAGCCGCCGCGGUAAUUC
RNAcentral lists this ribosomal RNA (539 nucleotides) under uncultured bacterium. RNAcentral describes it as "bacterial SSU rRNA". It matches the Rfam family "Bacterial small subunit ribosomal RNA", at positions 8 to 526 of the family's 1533-position model. The record is from RNAcentral.